Molecule: long non-coding RNA, 919 nt
Organism: Anolis carolinensis (green anole)
Lineage: Eukaryota; Metazoa; Chordata; Lepidosauria; Squamata; Anolidae
Exons: 3
Source: RefSeq, a predicted model, not a curated record
AGUCAACGGCUGUGAGGGCGGAUGAAGGCUGCAACAGAGGACAACUCUCAUUGCGGAGCACAGUUUUGACACCAAGAUCUGUGAUAAAAGCUUCAAGAGACCCUCUCCUUGUAUACUCAUUUUCUCACCCAUUCAGAUACCUGCUCUUAUCCAUGACAGUUCUGUGUGGAAAAGUUCCACCAGAAAUGUGACAGGAAGAAGCACCCAUCCAGCCAUACAGGUGAGAAGCCACAGGCGUGUGGCAGAGCUUUCAGCCAGAGUUCCAGCCUCAUCACUCCCAGUCGGAAACAUGCCAGAUUCCAGAGAAAGGUGGAUUUGAAGAGGCAUAAGCAGAUACACCAUGACCUGAAGUGAAAGCCACAUGGAAUGGGGGAAAUCAACAGAAACUCUAUGCAAACACAUGGCCCCAUCUUCCUAAUGGAUUGCCCUUUCCUCAACUGUCUGAAUGUUUUUAUCUUUUUAUCCUUUUUUUUACCCCGCUCCCCCCACCAGCUUGAAAUCCCAAACACUCUGUAUGGGUAAACUAUCUGGUGCAUGUAAAUGAGAAAAUCCUCUCUCCCUGUGUUCCCCAAUUAGCUUUCUAUUACUGAAAAGGGUUUUCUUAGGAAGCCUGAACUCCAUGUGUUUACAAUGUUAACAUACUGCUCAGUGAGACAAAGAAGAGACUGAUUGUAUUGUCAUUUGGAUGAUUUAGGAUCUCAUCCCACUGAACAGAUCAAAUGUUUGGAAGAAUGGAUAAUACUGGAGGAAAAUUAAUUAUUUUCCAUGUAGGAACUUUUAGGAACUUUCCCCUGCAGUUUAAUGUAGCAGGAAGAGAUAUAGGUCUCAGGGUUGUUGUAUGUCUUUCGGGCUGUGUGGCCAUGUUCCAGAAGCAUUCUCUCCUGACGUUUCACCCACAUCUAUGGCAGGCAUCCUCAGA